Haliotis rubra (blacklip abalone) is the source of this 3133-nucleotide long non-coding RNA. RefSeq lists it as uncharacterized. The record is from RefSeq and is a predicted model, not a curated record. The transcript is spliced from 2 exons. NCBI's taxonomy places the organism in Eukaryota, Metazoa, Mollusca, Gastropoda, Lepetellida, Haliotidae.
CAACCGUGUGUAUCGCCAAAGCCUCCUGUUUAACGAGACACUGUAUUUUAAUACCACAAGACCAGCCAUUGCAACCGUGUGUAGAAAACCCGCAUACAUGUUUAAUCAUGGGUUUGUUGUUUUAACUCCGGUUAAGUAUUUCAUGAACACUUCACGGGUCUGGUUUGUCUACUGUAUAAACAUACUGACUAAACAGCACGUGACGGAUAUUGAAGUAUUUGGUGUUGACAUGACCCCUGCUACAGUGGACUGGAUGGACAUCUCUGACAGUGAUUACAAAGUGGGAAAAACUUGUUCAAACGGACUUUACUUUGUCCGCUCUGCCAACAGAUUCACAGUGUAUGCGUUUCAGAACGACAUUACUAAUGGAGGCUACCGUUUCCCUACUGAUCCACCAACCGCUGCAGGGGACAUCAUGAUUGAAGAGUUUGUGUGUGAAGUGCUGGAAGAAGAUGAGUGCAUGUUGGUAUCAGUUGUGGCAACUUCUGUCUAUUGUCACGUACUCCAACGCGUGUCACCCUUUGUCACUUACCUCUAACCACGGGAAUACGUUAACAUUGCUUCUGUCUUUAAUCCAGCAUCAGUGCUACACUGGCUUUCCCACGCUACACGCUGUCAAUACGUCACUGACUCAUCUACGCUAUAUGUAGUCAGUACGUCAAGGGUUAAUCUAAACUACUGGGCAAAAGAAAGUUAUCACUGAUUGUAUAUUUAAAAAAUAGCUGGUACCGAUUUGAACCCAAGCAGAUAACGUUCGACAAAACGCAACAUGGUCACGAUAACAACACAUCUUCUUCCGAUUCGUUUUCUAAACGUGGAAUACGUAAUUGUGAAACAUUGGUCCAAAUGACCUGCAUAAAUGUGGCAUAGAUACCGAGCAAUAGAUACCGUUAUUUAACAAACAAAAAAAAACCCCACGAAUAUGCUAUACCUACGUACGCAAGCGCAACGAGACAGGACGAUCGGUAUGGCCAAAAUGGGAGCUUCACAACGUCAGCUGGCAUGAACCACCAGUCCACCAUUAGCAAAUUGAUAAGCCGCUACCAGCAAACAGGCCAGGCCUAAGACCCCCCUCAAGGUCGGGAACACCAGCAGUCACGACACCUGCCGAAGACGGCUACAUCCGUCAGAUCCACCUUCGUAACAGAUUCGUAACGGCGCCAGCACUAGGACACGCCAUCAGCAGACGAGCAGUCCUUCAACGACGUGGUAUGGCCUUGGCCUUGACCCGUCUACAACGUCAACACAGACUGCAAUGGACACGAACUGUACGUCGGUGGCAGCGACGUGACUGAGAGAGGGCUCUUUACAGUUGAAACUCGGCUCGGUUCACAAAUGAUGGCAGAAUUCGAGUGUUCUUUACGUAGAAUACAGCGAAUGGCAGAAAACUUGUUAAUGUUGAAACCUUGAACCCUGUCAAUGAAUUGCGGCAAAUGCAAGACCAGCGUUACAAUGAAUUUUCAGUCAAAUGAUUGGAAAAUGAAUUCUGUUUGUAAAAUAAUUAUCAUAGAUCUCACGUACGUCUUUGUUUCUAUUUUUGGUCACGUGAAGUCGGUGAUCACUUUCUUUGCCCGGUAGUUUAUGAUAUACGUAGAUAUCGCUGGUUCGCGCAAUACAGCUUCAAUAUAUAAUGGCCUCUGUACGCUAUACAUUGUGUCCUUUUCACAGGUCUGUAUACAUGCUAGUUUAAAUGUUCUCCAAUCAGGAGAUAUCAAUGUUUAACACCGCCUAUAGAAAUAUAUGCUAUCAGAAGGCUAUAACAACAAGAUUGUCCUUGUGAUCAAUAUUAUUACAAGAAUUAUUACAUUUUCUAAAGACAGAUACCCUGGAACAUUACAAACAUUUAUGUAACGGACAUCUUGUCAUGUUACAAUGUUGUACACAUUGCUAGGUUCAUGGUACUAUCAUUCAGCUGUGAAUUUGCCUCAUUCAUUAUAAACACUCUCAUCUAUAUUAACAUAUAUAAAUGUUGAAUAUGUUAUCUAACAAAUAUUUGAAUUGAGUAACAUAUUUCAGAACCUUGUGUUAUCUUCCCCUACAAUAUCAGUUUAUGGAUAGUAUAAUUAUGUAUAGUCUUUAAAGCUGAACACUGUUUAACACUUGAUCAAAAUAAUAAUUUAUGAGAUUGUUGUACAUUAAUUGCACUAUAUUUUCUUCUCUCCACAAUCUACUUGCCACAUUUAAUGUACAGGUGUUGCUGAAAGGUAAUAUGAUUUGUUACACUUCUCGUACAUCCUACAGAGGAAGAUCUCGUUUGUACCUUCUACACUAACUGAAGCCUGAUUCGUGUAUUCAAUACUGUAUCCAGGAAUUGGCAUGCAUUUAGGGGUUUUAGACUGACGUGAUACGGAUUGACAGGGGUUCAGACUAACGGUGUCGGAUUGACAGGGGUUCAGACUAACGGUGUCGGAUUGACAGGGGUUCAGACUAACGGUGUCCGGAUUGACAGGGGUUCAGAUUGACAGGGGUCCACAUUUUCUGUUAUCUUUUCUAAAACAAGUGUUUUAUUUUAUCUUCACGAAGAUUGCGCUAUUAUUAUUCAGAAAUAUAUUGAAUAAUAUAACUGUUGGACAAUAACGACAUAUAAUACAUGUAAUAACAAAUGGUACUCAUCCUCAAACCUGUUAAUUAGCUCAGAUACUUCACAAAAAACGGCAAUAUUUGUAAUUCCUAUAUAACUCAUAUUAGCAUAACGGCCAGUUUCUAGUUUUAACUUGUUAGCAAAUAUUCUGAGCAUAGUGUGCACAUGUGAAAUGUCUAGGUACAUUUGGUAACUGAUAAUAGAUUUGAUAUUACCAUAAAGAUAACGUUUUGAUGAGUGAUGGCCAUAUUGACAAUUCCUUUCUUAUAUGUAAUUAUUUUAAAUUAUAUUACUUUUUUGGGGUGUUUCAUUGCCUGAUUAUCUGUUGACCAAUAUCCCUUUCUCUUAUAGUUGUAGUCAAUGCCAUAUGUUUAUAUCGUACAUUUUGUUUAUGCUGUAGGUCUCCUGGACAAGCCACGCUUGAAAAGUCGAAAGUUGAGAAAUGGCUGAAAACUUGGAAACAUGUGAUACACAUUCCAUUUGGACUUUUGAGAAUAUGAUUGUUUACCCAUUGAUGUUAAUUGCUUCUUUUAUUAAAACAUUUCUGUGUGA